Molecule: unclassified non-coding RNA, 629 nt
Filed under: Hevea brasiliensis (rubber tree)
Lineage: Eukaryota; Viridiplantae; Streptophyta; Magnoliopsida; Malpighiales; Euphorbiaceae
Source: RNAcentral
GGAAUUGAUUUGCGUUCUCUAUCUGGUCGAUGCAGGUUGAUGUCAAAUGUUUUCAGAAGCCAAUGAUAUUAUUUCAGUGGAUGGGAAUGAAUGCUCUCAUCCUCUAUGCUAUGGCUGCUUGUGACCUCUUUUCUGGGGCAGUUCAAGGUUUCUAUUGGUAUUCACCUGAAAACAACUUGGUUGACAUUACAGAAAGGUUCAUUCAAGCAGCAUUUAAUUCAAAGAAGUGGGGUACCUUGGUAUUUGUGAUGCUUGAGAUAUUGAUUUGGGGUUUGGUUGCUGGAUUCCUUCAUGCAAAAAAGGUUUAUAUAAAGCUAUGAAGUUGCUGAUGUGAAUGCUUUUGCGUUGUCUGGUGCCACUCUCUUGAUCAUGCCCAGUAUUUUAAAAGAAUGCAUUCAGUGAGUCCUUCCUGCAGCAAAUCCAGAAGAUUUGAGAUUCCCAAGUCAUAGCAUUGAACUUUACUGUCCUUACGUCAUGUAUAUAUCUGCGGAUAAUAUUAUGUAGUAGAUCAUGAACAGUUUCCAGCUUUCUCCUUGGGUAGUUGUGGCAUUAAAAUUUGCUUCAAGGAUAUCUACAUAGUCCAGUCACAAAUGACAGCAGGUUGUAAACUUGUCAUAUCAUAUUUAAUU